UGAAUACGAGACGCUAAGGCGUCGAAGUAGUGUAUAUCAGACUUCCAAGAAAAGCUUGCACUGUCAUAGAUAAAAAAUGCCUGUACCAUAACCGACACAGGUGGGUAGGUAGAGUAUACUAAGGGGCGCGAGAUAACUCUCUCUAAGGAACUCGGCAAAAUAACUCCGUAACUUCGGGAGAAGGAGUGCCUUAUUUAUAAGGUUGCAAUAACAAGAUCCAAGCAACUGUUUAUCAAAAACACAGGUCUCCGCUAAGUCGUAAGACGAUGUAUGGGGGCUGACGCCUGCCCAGUGCCAGAAGGUUAAAGAAGUUGGUUAGCAAUUGCGAAGCUGAUAACUGAAGCCCUGGUGAACGGCGGCCGUAACGAUAACGGUCCUAAGGUAGCGAAAUUCCUUGUCGGGUAAGUUCCGACCCGCACGAAAGGCGUAAUGAUUUGGAUACUGUCUCGGAGAGGGGCUCGGUGAAAUAGACUUGUCUGUGAAGAUGCGGACUACCUGCACCAGGACAGAAAGACCCUAUGAAGCUUUACUGUAACUUGAAAUUGAAAUUGGACUUUAUUCGCGCAGCAUAGGUGGGAGGCGUUGAUUAUAAUCUUGCGGGAUUAUUGGAGCCAUCAGUGAGAUACCACUCUUGUAAUGUUAGAUUUCUAACUUUGAAUCAUUAUCUGGUCAAAGAACAGUUUCAGGCGGGCAGUUUGACUGGGGCGGUCGCCUCCUAAAUGGUAACGGAGGCGUACAAAGGUUUCCUCUGAACGGUUAGAAAUCGUAUCUAGAGUGUAAAGGCAUAAGGAAGCUUGACUGUGAGACCUACAAGUCGAGCAGGGACGAAAGUCGGUCUUAGUGAUCUGACGGUACUGAGUGGAAAGGCCGUCACUCAACGGAUAAAAGUUACUCUAGGAUAACAGGCUGAUCUCCCCCAAGAGUUCACAUCGACGGGGAGGUUUGGCACCUCGAUGUCGGCUCAUCGCAUCCUGGGGCGGUAGUACGUCCCAAGGGUUGGGCUGUUCGCCCAUGAAAGCGGUACGCGAGCUGGGUUCAGAACGUCGUGAGACAGUUCGGUCCAUAUCCGGUGUAGGCGUUAGAAUAUUGAGAGGAGCCUUCUUUAGUACGAGAGGACCGAGAAGGACAUACCUCUGGUGUACCAGUUAUCGUGCCAACGGUAAACGCUGGGUAGCUAUGUACGGAGUGGAUAACCGCUGAAAGCAUCUAAGUGGGAAGCCCACCUC
RNAcentral lists this ribosomal RNA (1226 nucleotides) under metagenome. Its description in RNAcentral is "bacterial LSU rRNA". It matches the Rfam family "Bacterial large subunit ribosomal RNA", at positions 1564 to 2800 of the family's 2925-position model. The record is from RNAcentral.